CCACACCGCGGACUGAGACACGGCCCGGACUCCUACGGGAGGCAGCAGUGGGGAAUAUUGGACAAUGGGGGAAACCCUGAUCCAGCCAUGCCGCGUGUGUGAAGAAGGCCUUUUGGUUGUAAAGCACUUUAAGCAGUGAAGAAGACUCACAUGGUUAAUACCGCAUGGAGCGAUGACAUUAGCUGCAGAAUAAGCACCUG
Molecule: ribosomal RNA, 200 nt
Filed under: uncultured bacterium
Lineage: Bacteria
Also listed under: 1 other name
Description: partial 16S ribosomal RNA
Rfam family: Bacterial small subunit ribosomal RNA
Source: RNAcentral